CGGAGGGAUCAUUAAAGAGUUCUAUAACUCCCAAACCCAUGUGAACAUACCUAACGUUGCCUCGGCAGGUCGCACCUACCUUGUAGCACCCUACCCUGUAGGGCCUACCCGGGAGGUGCGGGUAAGCCUGCCGGCGGCCCACCAAACUCUGUUUGAUAUUGAAUUCUGAACCUAUAACUAAAUAAGUUAAAACUUUCAACAACGGAUCUCUUGGUUCUGGCAUCGAUGAAGAACGCAGCGAAAUGCGAUAAGUAAUGUGAAUUGCAGAAUUCAGUGAAUCAUCGAAUCUUUGAACGCAUAUUGCGCCCAUUAGUAUUCUAGUGGGCAGGACCGUUCGAGCGUCAUUUCAACCCUUAAGCCUUCGUUGCUUAGUGUUGGGAGCCUACGGCAACGUAGCUCCUCAAAGUUAGUGGCGGAGUUGGUUCACACUCUAGACGUAGUAAUUUUUUAUCUCGCCUAUUAGUUGGACUAAUCCCCUGCCGUAAAACCCCCAAUUUAUCAAGGUUGACCUCGAAUCGGUUCAGACAAACUCGCUAAAUUGAAGCAUCUUAGUCAGCGAAGGAAAAGAAACCAACAGGGAUUGCCCUAGUAACGGCGAGUGAAGCGGCAACAGCUCAAAUUUGAAAUCUGGCCCUCGGGUCCGAGUUGUAAUUUGUA
Molecule: ribosomal RNA, 657 nt
Filed under: fungal endophyte
Lineage: Eukaryota; Fungi
Description: eukaryotic LSU rRNA
Rfam family: 5.8S ribosomal RNA (bases 191-344)
Source: RNAcentral